This 937-nucleotide ribosomal RNA is filed under the name uncultured Gammaproteobacteria bacterium. RNAcentral's name for it is "bacterial SSU rRNA". It matches the Rfam family "Bacterial small subunit ribosomal RNA", at positions 8 to 933 of the family's 1533-position model. The record is from RNAcentral. Lineage: Bacteria; Pseudomonadati; Pseudomonadota; Gammaproteobacteria.
AGAGUUUGAUCCUGGCUCAGAUUGAACGUUGGCGGCAGGCCUUAAACAUGCAAGUCGAGCGGAAACGAUGGGAGCUUGCUCCCAGGCGUCGAGCGGCGGACGGGUGAGUAACGCGUAGGAAUCUACCCAGUAGCGGGGGAUAGCCCGAGGAAACUCGGAUUAAUACCGCAUACGCCCCACGGGGGAAAGGCCGGGACCUCUUCGGAGACCGGUCACUAUUGGAGGAGCCUGCGUUGGAUUAGCUAGUUGGUAGGGUAAAGGCCUACCAAGGCAACGAUCCAUAGCUGGUCUGAGAGGACGAUCAGCCACACUGGAACUGAGACACGGUCCAGACUCCUACGGGAGGCAGCAGUUGGGAAUAUUGUGCAAUGGGGGAAACCCUGACACAGCCAUGCCGCGUGUGUGAAGAAGGCUCUAGGGUUGUAAAGCACUUUCAGUAGGGAGGAAAUAGCCGUAUUAAUACCACGGUUAUAUGACGUUACCUACAGAAGAAGAUCCGGCUAACUCCGUGCCAGCAGCCGCGGUAAUACGGAGGGAUCGAACGUUAAUCGGAAUUACUGGGCGUAAAGCGCGCGUAGGUGGUUCAUUAAGUGGGAUGUGAAAGCCCCGGGCUUAACCUGGGAAUUGCAUUCCAAACUGAUAAACUAGAGUACGAUAGAGGGGGGUAGAAUUCAGAGUGUAGCGGUGAAAUGCGUAGAUAUUCUGAGGAAUACCGGUGGCGAAGGCGGCCCCCUGGAUUGAUACUGACACUGAGGUGCGAAAGCGUGGGGAGCAAACAGGAUUAGAUACCCUGGUAGUCCACGCCGUAAACGAUGUCUACUAGCCGUUGGGAGGCUUGACCUCUUAGUGGCGAAGCUAACGCGAUAAGUAGACCGCCUGGGGAGUACGGUCGCAAGAUUAAAACUCAGAUGAAUUGACGGGGGCCCGCACAAGCGGU